GGUGGGUUUGUAAACCUCCAAGGUGUAAGGAAGCUGACGAGAAAGAACCCCUCUCCAUGGGGUGUAUUGUUGACCGACCUUGAGCUUAUGCGAAGGGUUUGAGUGCGAGCACACCUGUUAGGACCCAAAAGAUGGUGAACUAUGCCUGAGUAGGGCGACGCCAGAGGAAACUCUGGUGGAGGCUCAUAGUGAUAUUGACGUGCAAAUCAUUCGUCUGACUUGGGUAUAGGGGUGAAAGACUAAUUGAACCAUCUAGUAUCUAGUUUCCUCUGAAGUUUCCCUCAAGAUAGCUGGAGCUCAUAUGCAAGUUUUAUCGGGUAAAGAAAAUGAUUAGAGGCAUCAAGGGCGUAAUGCCCUCAACCUAUUCUCAAAAUUUAAAUAGGUAAGAUAGCGCGGCUGCUCCAUUGAUUCGUGCCAUGGAAUCGAGAGCUCCAAGUGGGCCAUUUUUGGUAAGAAGAACCGGCGAUGCGGGAUGAACUGAAAGUCGAGUUACGGUGCCAAAUUGCACGCUAACCUAGAUCCCACAAAGGGUGUUGGUUUAUUAAGACAGUAGGACGGUGGUCAUGGAAGUCGAAAUCCACUAAGGAGUGUGUAACAACUCACCUGCCGAAUCAACUAGCCCCGAAAAUGGAUGGCGCUAAAGCACGUGACCUAUACUCGACCAUCGAAGUAAUUGCUAGGAUUCGAUGAGUAGGAGGAUGCAGGGGUCAUUGAGAAACUUUGGGCGUGAGCCUGGGUGGACCGGUCCCUGGUGCAGAUCUUUGUGGUAGUAGAAAAUAUUCAAAUGAGAACUUUGAAGACUGAAUUGGGGAAAGGUUCCAUGUGAACAACACUUGGACAUGGGUUAGUCGAUCCUAAGAGAUGGGGAAGCCCUGUAUCAAGGGUGCACUCUACACGAACAAUGAAAGGGAAUCGGGUUAAUAUUCCCGAAUCGGGACAUGGGGGUGGACGACAACGUUAGGAAAUCCGGAGACGUCAUCAGGGGCCCCAGGAAGAGCUAUCUUUUCUUUUUAAUAGCUUUCCCACCCUGAAAUCGGCUCAACCGGAGAUAGGGUCCAACAGCUGGAAGAGCAUCGCACGUCUUGCUGUGUCCAAUGCACCCUUGGCGGCCAUUGAAAAUUUGGAGGACCGAGCACCGUCCAUGCCUGAUCAUACUCAUAACCACAUCAGGUCUCUAAGGUGAACAACCUCUGGUCAAUAAGAUAAUGUAGGUAAGGGAAGUCGACAAAACAGAUCCAUAACUUCAGGAAAAGGAUUGGCUCUGAGGACUGGGCCUAGGGGUCUGCAUCCUCAACCCGUGGACUGUCAGCAGUCUGCCCGAGCUUCCAUCGUAGCGAGGGAGGGCAGUCGCGUGUUGAUUAGGCUACGGACGUAGAAUGUCCUCUCGCAGGGGAUUUUCCCUAGGCGGUGAACAGUCGACUUAGAACUGGUACGGACAAGGGGUGAUCAGAAAUCGGAUCCAGAAGUCUGACAGGGUUUAAAAAUGCUCAAAAAUGAAAGUGCUUGGAAUGCGAUGAAACCAAAUAGGUAAAAAGUCAAAGUUCAACUAGUUAAAAAGUCAAUGCUGAUGGCAACAUGACAUCAGCAUGCUGACUGU
Non-coding RNA from Picea glauca (white spruce), 1597 nucleotides. Lineage: Eukaryota; Viridiplantae; Streptophyta; Pinopsida; Pinales; Pinaceae. The record is from Rfam.